UGCAGUCGAGCGGAUGAAGGGAGCUUGCUCCUGGAUUCAGCGGCGGACGGGUGAGUAAUGCCUAGGAAUCUGCCUGGUAGUGGGGGAUAACGUCCGGAAACGGGCGCUAAUACCGCAUACGUCCUGAGGGAGAAAGUGGGGGAUCUUCGGACCUCACGCUAUCAGAUGAGCCUAGGUCGGAUUAGCUAGUUGGUGGGGUAAAGGCCUACCAAGGCGACGAUCCGUAACUGGUCUGAGAGGAUGAUCAGUCACACUGGAACUGAGACACGGUCCAGACUCCUACGGGAGGCAGCAGUGGGGAAUAUUGGACAAUGGGCGAAAGCCUGAUCCAGCCAUGCCGCGUGUGUGAAGAAGGUCUUCGGAUUGUAAAGCACUUUAAGUUGGGAGGAAGGGCAGUAAGUUAAUACCUUGCUGUUUUGACGUUACCAACAGAAUAAGCACCGGCUAACUUCGUGCCAGCAGCCGCGGUAAUACGAAGGGUGCAAGCGUUAAUCGGAAUUACUGGGCGUAAAGCGCGCGUAGGUGGUUCAGCAAGUUGGAUGUGAAAUCCCCGGGCUCAACCUGGGAACUGCAUCCAAAACUACUGAGCUAGAGUACGGUAGAGGGUGGUGGAAUUUCCUGUGUAGCGGUGAAAUGCGUAGAUAUAGGAAGGAACACCAGUGGCGAAGGCGACCACCUGGACUGAUACUGACACUGAGGUGCGAAAGCGUGGGGAGCAAACAGGAUUAGAUACCCUGGUAGUCCACGCCGUAAACGAUGUCGACUAGCCGUUGGGAUCCUUGAGAUCUUAGUGGCGCAGCUAACGCGAUAAGUCGACCGCCUGGGGAGUACGGCCGCAAGGUUAAAACUCAAAUGAAUUGACGGGGGCCCGCACAAGCGGUGGAGCAUGUGGUUAAUUCGAAGCAACGCGAAGACCUUACCUGGCCUUGACAUGCUGAGACCUUUCCAGAGAUGGAUUGGUGCCUUCGGGAACUCAGACACAGGUGCUGCAUGGCUGUCGUCAGCUC
Molecule: ribosomal RNA, 1007 nt
Filed under: Pseudomonas aeruginosa
Lineage: Bacteria; Pseudomonadati; Pseudomonadota; Gammaproteobacteria; Pseudomonadales; Pseudomonadaceae
Description: bacterial SSU rRNA
Rfam family: Bacterial small subunit ribosomal RNA
Source: RNAcentral